This 294-nucleotide ribosomal RNA is filed under the name Ehrlichia canis. Its description in RNAcentral is "partial 16S ribosomal RNA". It matches the Rfam family "Bacterial small subunit ribosomal RNA", at positions 105 to 416 of the family's 1533-position model. The record is from RNAcentral. Lineage: Bacteria; Pseudomonadati; Pseudomonadota; Alphaproteobacteria; Rickettsiales; Anaplasmataceae.
GGUGAGUAAUGCGUAGGAAUCUACCUAGUAGUACGGAAUAGCCAUUAGAAAUGGUGGGUAAUACUGUAUAAUCCCCGAGGGGGAAAGAUUUAUCGCUAUUAGAUGAGCCUACGUUAGAUUAGCUAGUUGGUGAGGUAAUGGCUUACCAAGGCUAUGAUCUAUAGCUGGUCUGAGAGGACGAUCAGCCACACUGGAACUGAGAUACGGUCCAGACUCCUACGGGAGGCAGCAGUGGGGAAUAUUGGACAAUGGGCGAAAGCCUGAUCCAGCUAUGCCGCGUGAGUGAAGAAGGCC